Molecule: ribosomal RNA, 361 nt
Filed under: uncultured bacterium
Lineage: Bacteria
Description: partial 16S ribosomal RNA
Rfam family: Bacterial small subunit ribosomal RNA
Source: RNAcentral
CCUACGGGAGGCAGCAGUGAGGAAUAUUGGUCAAUGGCCGGAAGGCUGAACCAGCCAAGUCGCGUGAGGGACGACUGCCCUAUGGGUUGUAAACCUCUUUUAUCAGGGAAGAAUAAAUGCUACGUGUAGCAUGAUGCCUGUACCUUAUGAAUAAGCAUCGGCUAACUCCGUGCCAGCAGCCGCGGUAAUACGGAGGAUGCGAGCGUUAUCCGGAUUUAUUGGGUUUAAAGGGUGCGUAGGCGGUUUUUUAAGUUAGUGGUAAAACGUCGGGGCUUCACCUUGGUUAGCCAUUAAUACUGUAAGACUCGAGAUGAGACGAGGUAGGCGGAAUGAGUUGAGUAGCGGUGAAAUGCUUAGAUAU